RNAcentral lists this unclassified non-coding RNA (196 nucleotides) under uncultured fungus. RNAcentral describes it as "sequence contains ITS1". Lineage: Eukaryota; Fungi. The record is from RNAcentral.
UAUAUAUUAUAUAGGCACAACAUUCUAUUAACAUACAUUGGGGGUAAAUGAAGCAACAUAGACCUGGAAGGGUCUACAAAAAGUGCACAGGUGGAGAUAUAAAGAUGACAAGGCGUGCACAUGCUCCCUAGAGAACCAGCAACAACCCAUCAGGUUUAUUUCAAUAAUGAUCCUUCCGCAGGUUCACCUACGGAAA